RNAcentral lists this ribosomal RNA (406 nucleotides) under uncultured bacterium. Its description in RNAcentral is "partial 16S ribosomal RNA". It matches the Rfam family "Bacterial small subunit ribosomal RNA", at positions 30 to 526 of the family's 1533-position model. The record is from RNAcentral.
AUUGAACGCUGGCGGCAGGCCUAACACAUGCAAGUCGAACGAGUGGCGGACGGGUGAGUAAUGUCUGGGAAACUGCCCGAUGGAGGGGGGUAACUACUGGAAACGGUAGCUAAUACGGCAUACCAUCGGAUGUGCCCAGAUGGGAUUAGCUAGUAGGUGGGGUAACGGCUCACCUAGGCGACGAUCCCUAGCUGGUCUGAGAGGAUGACCAGCCAAACUGGAACUGGGAAACGGUCCAGAAUCCUACGGGAGGCAGCGGUGGGGAAUAGUGCACAAUGGGCGCAAACCUGGUUGCGCCACGCCGCGGGUAUGGAAGAGGCCUUUGGGUUUUUAAGUACUUUCAGCGAGGAGGCGUUACUCGCAGAAGAAGCACCGGCUAACUCCGUGCCAGCAGCCGCGGUAAUUC